RNAcentral lists this long non-coding RNA (1408 nucleotides) under Olea europaea subsp. europaea. Lineage: Eukaryota; Viridiplantae; Streptophyta; Magnoliopsida; Lamiales; Oleaceae. The record is from RNAcentral.
AUUCUCGUGAUCAUUCAUUGAGUGCAGUUUCUCUUAUAAUUUGUAUCGCUUAUCUAGAGAUGAUUGAACAAAAUUAUUAUCGUUCCAAUUCGAAAAAUCUAUGAAUCAAAACACAAACACAUCCCCUCUCUCUCUAGAUAGUGCCACCACCGUGUAUAUAUAUGGGGGUGUGUGAACUUUACACUUUUGUGGAUUGCACUCAUAUCUACAAAGCAACCAGUGGAGGCAUCAAUUCUGAAGGUACUCUUAUAUUUUAUUUUAAAAAUAUAUGAUGCCGCAUGCUUAUGUAGUAUGUUCCUUUAAUGUUCCUUUAAUGUGUUAGCAUAUUGGGGAAUAGCAUAGGCUGUGUUAAAACUUUGGAUUACCUAACUAUGAAUAAAAACAGUUUCUUUACUCCUUAGAAUUGCAUUAGUGAAGUCAUAUUAUGUUGAUCAAAUGUUUUUAAAAGGAUUUUGAGCAUUGUGCCUGCAAUUAUUGUGCUAUGCAGAUUUUAAGGUAAAGAAAGCUUAUAAGUAUGCUUGUAUUGAUAUGAUGAGUUUGAGAAAGUUUAUUCUAGAUACAACAUUAAAAAGGUGUAUAUGAUUAUUAGGAUAUGGUGUAUACAAAUAUUAGUAUAUGUUUGAGUUUAAGUACGUAUUGUGGAUAGUCAUAAUUGCAUUAAGUAUUUUGAGAAUGUAACCAAAUUUAAAUAUUUAUUUAAGUUCUUAAGAAUUAACUAAAAGUUAUUAGAAACCCACUAAUUGGACUUCAAAUAAUUGAAAUGGCAUAGAUGAGUUCAACGAUUCCUCGUCGAUGUGAGAUUGUAAGAUAGUAUGAAGAGUAUUGGUGGAAUCCAGUGCAUGAUAUGGGCCGACAUAUUGAAGAGAUGUUAGUAAGGUGGAAGGAGGUGAGGCAACUAGGCCAUAUGAUCACUGGUCGUGAGGCUACCUGCCUCCUUAUUGAUACCUUGCUAGAAGAAUGGCUACAAGUGGUCGAAUCGAUUAAUAAUUAUUUAUGGACAGUUGCUAUGCCAACCUUGCCUCGAGAGAUUGAAUAUGAGGUCUUCUGUGCAGAGCUGACGGUACAGUGGGGACAGGCCUGAGAUGAUGCACUUGCAAACCCUGAGGAGAAUAGUUUACCUACUUAGAUGUACAUUCAUGAAGAUGCACCUCCACCUUUUUUAGACGAUGAGGCGUAGCCUUCCAAGAAACCUAGAUUUUAUGAAGACUGGAUUAGUGACGAUGAUGGCGAGGAUGAGUAGUGAUGUCUUAGUAGAUUUUAUUAGGUUUAGUUCUUGUUUAUGUCAAGUAAGAUUUAUUUUGCUUUCCAGUUGAUUUGCGUCGAACACUCUUUUAUUAUUUUGUAUUUCUCUUAAUUAUGUUAUCAUUUACCUUUUUCGCUUGAUUAUGUUAAAAUAUAUUUAUUGCUC